UGUAUGUGUAUGCCUGUGUGUGUGUAUGUGCAUGUGUGCACGUGCAUGCAUGUGCAUGUGUGUUAUUUGUGUAUGAGGGAGUAUAUGUAGAUUCAGGUGAACAAUUUUGAGUGUCAUUCCUUACUGAAUGGCCCACUGUGUUUUUUUUGUUUCUGUUUUAUUUUGUUUCCCUGUUUGUUUUUGAGACAGGAUCUCUCACUGGACUAGAAUCAAGUUGGCUAGGCUUGCUGGCCGGUGAGCCCGCAAGGGUCCACUUGUUUCUGCCUGCUAAGCAUUGUGAUAGCAAGCAUCUAUUACCUCAGUCAGCCUUGAACAGUCUUUUAACUCCAUAAAACAAGUGUUCUCUCCGUGUGUAAGUUAACUACCUGAUGCAGGAGGGAAAGCGAAAUGGCCUCAUGUGUCAAGGAUGCUGCUGCAUUCAGCAUCCUCGUGGCCUCCACUAUGAUAGUGGUCAUAGUCACUAUCAGGGUAAUUCCGAACCCUUUCUUACCUGCCCUGGAGCUUCCUGGGUAAAGCCCUGUGUGAAUCUUCUGCAGUUGGUUUACUGGGAGGCUUCUGCCCCUCACUGUCGAUAGACAAGAGUAAACAAAACUGAAGAGAGCUGUGGCCAUCCUUGAACGUUGUGAUGAUCAGGCCAUGGGGUGUUCCCAACAUGUGCCUGCUAUAGAAACCUGUGCUUGCUUAGGGGUGAUUGCUGGAGGCAGCAGCCAAUAUGCAACCCAGGGAAGCUUGAGGAAGUCAGGCCUCUGAGGAAUGCCACUAGAGGGUCACUGCCCUGGCCCAGGCUCUUUCUCGGGACAGCAAUAGCCUGAGAUCAUCUGGGAGUUGUAAAGACAGGCUGCCAUGUGUGGGUAUUCAAGUCUGUGUGAUGGUAGUUCAGUCAACUUUCCCAGGCAAUGCCCCAGUGUGUUUCUGUCUUCUCUACGUGGAGGGGACCUUGGAGUGCAUUAGAUAAGGACAUGGUAACACAGGAAGAGGGGGUGAGCCUCAGCCUAUGGCAGCAGAGCUGAUGCUGACACACUGUCUAAGCUUGAGUGCCUGGUCUUCUCCCAUAUGGUCUGCUGAGGGCCUGGUGCAAUGACUCCUGAGGGCGCUCGGUGCUCUGUGGGUCUUAGCCAGGACCAAUGAUGCCACUUGUCACUUUUCUACCCUCUACAAAGCCAUAAGCUCGUGUGUAUGCUGGGAGAAACAGCUGCUGUGUUAAAUCAUGUUUUCUGACUUCUGGAGAGGGCCGGUGAAUGGAGAGAAAGCACCCUUCACAGCAGAAGAUAUAAGCCCCUCUUCUCUCUGCUCUGCAAGUCCUACACUGUCUUUGUGGCACAAGGAAAUGAACACCUCCUCCUGGGAGUCCACUCUGAUCCUCAGGUAAUACACAAAUGUGUCCCCAUUCCCCGAAAAGGACCAGCUCUCACUGCAAGGAAAUGGAUAUCUGCGAACAUUACUCUGUCUGUCAAACAUUUACCUUUGCCCAUAAGGACAAAGGGAUGAACCAUUUUGUUGUCUCUCUGGGCUGAGCACAGCGCCUGGGACAAAUCUCAGUAAACACCUAAACAAUGUCAGGUUUUGUGUUUCUUCCCCUGCUAAGUCAGCUGUGCUUCUAAGAAAGUCCUAAGCAUGAUCCUAGACUUACCUGAGCCUCAUUCCCAGACUGUCUUGUUGCAUAAAGGAGAUGGAAUGUUCCAGAAGCCAAACCACUCAUGAGUGCAAAUUAAAGUCCAGGAAAGGUUAGUAACUCAUCCUCACCCAGCAGCAAACCAGGCCUCAGCCUGGCUUUGUUGGUGUUAAGCUGUCUCUUCAAUCCAUUUCCGCAUACAGUUCCAACAGAUUCAGAUAUUACUGGCUCUGUCGUCACAACUCUUGUCUUGGGGGGUGGGGGGCGUCUUGGCAGAGCUACCCUGGGCCUAGAACCUCAGACCAGCACAUUUUAUUUAUUUUAUUUUUACAGAGAGGAGACUGUUUGUGUAAACUGUCUGAACCACUCAGAAUCACGUGAGUACCAUCUCACUGGCUCAGUGCCCUGCAGUCCUGUCAUAAGAACAUUUUUGUGGCUGGUGGGGACACUCCCUCCACUGGACUGUCUCGCUAACACUGCCCACCCCACUCUGAGGUACCAGGUAAUGCUAGAAGAUUGGAGCUCACUGCCCAUACUGGUCCACCCCUAGAAUCCUCGGAGUAGGGCUAGGGUGGGCAAUCUCUGAACAAGAGGAACAAAUAAAAAUGGGACUGCACAGAGAUUCAAGUAUGACAUUAGGUAUGGACCACCAAGUUGGCCAGGCCUGGACAGAAGGAAGUAUCCUCACGGAGCUGAGCUGUGGGUCCCUCUUUUGUCUAGACCUGGAGGCAGUGUUUUGCAGAGCCCUGGCAGCCUGCCUCUGCACUGGCACCACAGGGGACACUCAUACAGGGCUUCUCCAGGUCCUACUUUGAGAAAUGCGUCUCCUUUGGCCACUCUGGGUGGGAAGACCUUCCUGAGAUGGGGUUCACAUGGGACUGUCCAGUUCAGUGGCUGUCACUGCUCUAGGUCUACAAACAGGAGGAGGGUGGCAGGAGACAAUGACAGUGUGGCCGCCCAUGAGUCUUUGAUCUGACAGCUCCUGGAGCCCCCUCAGCAGCCUUUUGCUUACUAGGCCACUAUCAGCUCCCUGAUGUGGAGGGACCCUGGUAAUGAGGUUCUAUUAACGGAGCUGGAUCCCGGUUCUCAGAACUCAAUGUUCAGAGUAAACAAUGAGGCAGAAUCCUAUUUAAAAAAAAAAAAAGACUUCCAACAUGGACAAAUUAAGCCCGUGGGAAUGUCGUACAAAGAAUACAUUUUUCCAGUGUCGAAUCAAGAUCAAUAGAGAAAAACAAAUAAUUUCAAGUGAGAGUUGUCAUAAUGACACUCAGGUUCGGGCAGGGGUUGCACACAGUAUUUUGGCCUGAGGACAUCCCAGCAUAUAUAAUGAGGAUGCAGGGGUGGGGCUGGUCCUGGGCAGCAGGGGUGCGUCGACUCCCAGGUGGCUCAGCCUGGCUGACACUCGGUCUCAUUUGUCUCUGUCAAGGCUCCUCUCUCACUGUGGAGCUGUUAGCCUGUUCAUGUGCUACCGAGCUUGCUGAGGUUGACCCAGGUCUGGAGCAGCUAAAGAAGCCAGAGCUUUGUUCAGAGGGGAUAGAUCUGCACACCCCCUGCAGAAUGCUGUCUGUAACUCUCCCCCAAGGUGGGGGAGAUCCCUAGUCAUCUGCUCAGACGUCUCCUUCUCUUCAAUUCCCCCCAUUUGCCACUCACUUUGGACUGUCAUGCCCACAGGACCCAGUGUGCUCUCUGCUAUCAGUAAAAGUCUUACCUGUUGCCCCAUGCUGGUCUGGAGGGAGUUGUUCUUUUAGAAACCUCUGCUUAAUUCUUUCCUUCUCUUCCUGAUCCCUGGUGACCUGAAAAUCACCCUUGUCUGUUUUCCCAGAGUGCCAGGCAGGGUUCUCAGCUGGCAUAUACCCUCUCCUGCUCUCCGAGGGGAUGUCUCAGUGAAUUGGGUCAUCCUGUUGAGUCACUGGACAGAGAGCUUCCCAAUCCUGCCUGGGGUUCCUUGAUUCAUCUGAGCCCCCACUGUGGUCUCCAAGCCAUAUCCCCGGGAGCAGGUCAUUUCCAUGGGAGUCUGGGAGACUAGGAUGGACAAGACUCAGGUCUCAGGAGGCAGGGGCUCUAAUACCUAUCUGCUCUCCACAAGGAGACUAGGAGACGAAGGAGAGUUGACUCUGGUACACAGUCGCCAUGAUUCCUGAUUUCAACCUGCUGAGCUAAUGUGCAUUGGUGAUGUCUCUGAGGUUUCCCUCCAUGCAGAAUUUGUGCUACACGCACUAGAGGAGUGUGUGUGUGUGUGUGUGUGUGUCCGUGUGUGUGCAUGUGCAUUUUAGGCUGAGCCAAAGCACACACUAGGUGCAACAUCUUUCCCUACUUUCCAGCUGACAAACAAGUGACUGGGCAGGGCCGGAGGUCAGGUGGACUCAGGGCUUCUGCCUCCCAGGAAGAUCUCGGCCCUAUUGGGGGUGGAGAGAUAUAGAGUGGGUCAUGGUAAGGCAAACCUAGAGAGGAACUGGAGGUCUCAUGGAGGGUCUUGGCCCAGCCAUGUGGGAAAGCGGAAGGAUGAGAGUUCCCAAGCUGCCUACAACUUUGGUUGGCUUGAGGCAUAGACCGCUAGGAUGGCUUAAAAUGCUUUGCCUCCUCUAAAAAUUCACAGCUAAGUUGAAUUCCCACUGUAAAGUGUUAUGGGGUUGGGGACGAGGUUCCAAUACAUGGGUAGAGUGAAGCCUUGGGGGACAAUGGGAGUCUGACAAGAUCAGAAAGGUGGGGCCCCUGAUUGAAUGCUGAUGGUCUCGAAAGAGCAAAGAGAGACUAGAAGACACAUUUUCAGUCUCUUUUCUCUCUUCUCGUGCGCCUUACCAUGUGACAUCCUACACUUCUUUGGGAGUUUGCCAGAGAGAAGGCCAACAUCAGACUUGAGCUUUGACCUUGGACAAGAACUCUGUAAGCCCAAAGAAAGAUCUCUUAUUUCUAACUUUACCUAUCUCUCUGGUCUUGUUUCAGACUUUCAUCAUCUCUGGCCUUGUGUCACUAUCAUUUGAAGGUGGUUCAGGUAAGGGCUGCCUCCCUGAACCUCCCCCGUCUUCUCUGGAGAUUACUACAAAGAAUUAGCUUGCUCAGUAAAAGCUCUAAGAAGCCCAUAGCAGCUUUUGCUUCUCCCAGUGUGCCAGGUACACUGCACAGUGGAUGUCCUUUCUUGUCCCUUCAUAGCUCUUGUUGACAACCCUAUACCACUUUUAUAGUUACCCGUGAGCAAUGUGGCCCACUGGACAGAGGUGUCCCCAGCCCCAGAGCUUUGGAACAUGGUGAAACCUGGUGAGGAGGAGUCUGGGAUCUAAAUCCCCUGCAGAUACACAAACCUAUACUGGUUGUUAUUAUGCAUACACAUAGGAUGGGAGCUUUGGUGGAGAGCUAUCUCAGCCAUUUAAAUGGCAGCGGACUUCAUUUCUCUGAGUUUGGCUUACACAGAGGAUCAAGUAGAGCCGGGCAAAGUUGCUUAUCCCAGUCUUGUCAGUGAGACUCAGAAAUACAAAGUGGAGUUGGCGAUGCAGCCCAUUUGUUGGAGUGCUUGCCUAGCUUGCGAAAGGCCCCAGCACCACACAAACAUGGUGGUGCAUGCUGUGCUACUUAAAACCUCUGUGUCAAAAUCAAUCCACCAACCAAAUAAGCCAACCGAAAUGGAGACAAUCAUCAUGGCUAUAAGGAGGAGGCCAGUGGAAGGACCACACAGUGGAAGGCCCAUGGCCUCUCUAGACCUCAGUAGUCACAAAGAAUGGGAAGGGUGCAUGCACACUGAGGGAGGGCUCCCCAAGUAUGUGCUGGGCCGGCAAAGUAAGGUACAGAGCAUGGGACUUAAGGCCCAGCACAUGUUAGGCAAGAGCUCUACCUCUGAGAUACACCCUAGCUAGGCCUUUUAAAAAUUACUAUUUUGAGACAGGGUCCUAACGAGUAGCCCAGGUUGGCCUUAAACUCACUCUGUUGGUCAUGCAGGUCUUGAACUUGUGAUACUCCUGUCUCAGCCUCUCUAGGGAUUACAGACAGGCACCACCAAAGUGAUUAUGACAGUUAAACGAAGGGGCAGGAGAAGCCUGUUUGAUUAUAUGUAUCAUAUGCAAACAUGUACACACAUACUAGACAUACAUGGGAUAUCAUGGAAUCAGUGGGAAGAGAGGAAGUUGUAUGUACAGAAUCUCUGAAUUCCAUGCCUAUCCCUCACUGAUUUGUAACUCAGGGGAAACAAUCUGACCCAUGUAUUCUUCAGUCUGUUCAUCCAGAAAAUAUGGUAAUUAUAUUUCAAUCUCUAGAAAUUAUGGAGGGAAGUCAGCAAUGAAUUAAGUCACAUAAGCAAGGCUUCCGGGUGGUUGACUGGCUCCUGGCUGGGGCAGAAUAAGUGAACUGUUACUUUACCUUUUACUUUUUAUUUUUUUUUAACCAUGGUGCAUCACUUCUGGUCCACACAUCUCCACACCUCAGUCCAGUGAUGGGAGCGUGGCUUUCCAUCCAGCCCUUUGUGAUGGGUGUAGUGGUUUAAUGAGAAAUGCUUUUUCUGUCCUGGUAGCAUGAACCCUAGUGGCCUGACUUAAAAGGGAAGACCCUGAGGUACAAUCAACUGGAUUGUUAUCUAUGGUGGUACUUCCUGGGGCUCCCUGCUCUGGACUGAAGCCUGACAAGCAGUUAUAGGAUCCCCACAGCCAGUUGGCCCCCUUGGCUUCCCCAGGGAGAGGGUGCUUGGGAAGGGUCAAUGGGCCUGCAGCCCAUCGGGAGGUCUGUCGUUUUAUAAGCAGCAAGUACCCAUGUUUACUCAUGCUUUUGCUUAGUGUUGUUGGGCUGCAGGCGGCAGACACUAACACUGGUUAACUUCAGCAAAAAGGAAUUUAUUGGCAGGAUGUCGAGAGCUUGGAGAAGUGACAGGAACCUAGAGAAGCAGACUCUGGGAGGGCAGGAGCCUGGGCCUUUCUGAUCACCCACCUCAGAAUCUGUGGCCACCGCAAACAGAAAGAAACAUCUGGUCUGCAUGCUGCCGAGGUUGAGAUGGUGACCUCCAGCUGAGCCUCUGGGUUCAGUGGCUCUUUUUCUUCAUUCUUCUUGCUUGUCUGUCAACUGAGGAUCCCUCUUUUCCAGGCUUGUUGAAUUCUCUGCCUUAAAGUCUUGCAGGCAAGUGUUGAAGUCGUGUUCUUUCCACUGUGGACAGAACCGAAGAUCCCAGCAUCCUUUGUGGGACUCUGUAACACAAGGUUUGUACAUCCUUUGAGGAAGGGUGCAGACAUAUACAUAUACUUGGGUCAGUUACAUGUCACCUGGGGAAAUGAGUAGCAGCCAGUGUCAUAUAACACUGUAAGUACUUCUGUGUAGAUAGCAGGGCACUAGGGCAGCUGCUGCAGCAGCGACCGGUUGGAAGAAGAUCCAUGUCGUCCCCAGUGUGGGAAGCAAGGUGACAUCCUGCAUGGCCACACAGAUUGGUGUCCUGACGACUACUGGGCUACGAUCCCAGCUGUGGCCUGGCUGCCUUGCUGCUUCCCAUCUGCUGAUCUCCCCACCAGAUCUGUGAUCUUUCUCACCUGCUGUGAAAUAAAUCCCCACCUGCUUCAAACUGACCAAGCCCGAACCUAGAAGCUUGGCUGACACUCUGAAUGACUCUCAGCAGAUUUGUGUUCCCAGAAGAGAGGUUGAGGCACGUUCCUGCUCCCCACGGGAUCCAGGAGACUGGAGUUGGCCCUUUGGCUUUCGUUAUGGGAGGUAGAAGACUAGAAUUCCCCUCCACCAAGACCACACACAGUGGGGAAGAGGCAAAUUCCAGAAGGAACACAGGCUACUGUUAAAUGAGGAGUGUGGGAGCGCAGUUAGCAAAACAGGACACAUGUGCACUAACCAAUCUCUCUUCAUUCAUCCAAGUAAAUAGAGUGUGCACUCUAUGCUGAGGAAAGGGGUCUCUCCCUUCUUUCAUGUACACCACACUCACACUGCAAGCCGGAUGCAUGCAGAUACUGCAAAACCUUUGGGAUACAGCACUGGCUGCCCUCCAGACACCCAGCUAAGUAAAGGGACCAAGGACUGUUCCAGAGAAAAGCUGUGGUGACUUCCAACGGUGCUCUAGAAUCUCCUGGACUUCCCCAGAAGAAUCUGCCUUACAUGUAAACGUUCUGCUUCAGAUGUUUGCCAUGCAAGAGAUCCUGCCAUUAAAGUCCAUGCCAAAAACAAACAAACAAACAAACACACACACACCACAAAAACCAAACCUCAAUGAGUGCGCUUUCUGAGUUCCCAUGGGGCUCUUACUACCCUGGGUGACUAAAUGGCCUGGUUUGCCACACACGAGUUCUAUUUUAUCAGUUCCAUGUUAAGAUGACCACACCCAGAUAAGCUAGAAGGUCGGUACCCUCAAUUUUUAACAUUUUGCUCUUAAGACAGGCUACCGUCUGGAGAGGUCAUGGGGGUGGGCUGAACAUUGGGCAGGGCUGGUGGUCUCUGUUGUGGUCGGCUUGGGCCUCCUGAAGGAGAUAGGCCAGAGACCCACUAAGGCAACUGAGAAAGGGUCAUGAGGAGUCAGAGUCUGUGGAGCAUAAGAGAUUAGUUCAUGUUGUCUGGAUUGCUGGGACUGCCUCCCUGGGACUAGAACCACUGGUCUGUGUCAGGGUCAUUCUGGAUUAUAGUCUGGAGAAUCCUAACACUGUCUGCCUAACCCCACAGCAGCUCAUCCUUACUGACAGGCACAAGGCCAGAGGUGUUCAAGGAUAAGACAGGGGCUCCACAGAGCUUGUGGGGUCCAGGCUUCUUCACCCUGUGCCCCUUCAUCCCUCCUCUCAUGUGGAACUCUGGCUCUAGGUGCAGCUUCCCUCCUGGAGGUCAAGAAUGACACAAGAAAGGAGCAGCGUCAAGGAGGAGGAGGUGUAAGGCAACGUGUACAGCCAUUCUCAUAGACGCUAGCUGCUUCCACUGGUCAGGGAUGCUACAGUGCUUUCUCUUGAAAAGAGGCUGGGAAAUGGUGUGUUUCAGCUGGCUGGAACCAAAUCGAGAGAGAGAGAGAGAGAGAGAGAGAGAGAGAGAGAGAGAGAGGUGAAGAAGGGCUCUUGUUUGGAUAAUUAGAGGAGUCCUCAGGAGGUUCUUAGAGGCUUCUAAAUACACUGGCCAUCCAAUCUCCCUAUCACUCAAGCUUAUGUCUCAUAGUCCCCUGGGUCCCAAGCGCCAUAGACGCCAGACUUGGCAUGAUCCACACUGCUGGGGUGCCACCAAUAGGAUGCCGGAAACCCCAUUUUUCUUUUCUCUUCCCAACAAAGCCAGAUGGCAGGCAGUGUGACUCCAUCUCCGCCAAAGUCCAGGGGAUGUUGUCCCCUCCCUGCCUGGAAGGCUGUACCCCUCCUCCUGAUGCACUUCCUGUGGCCCACAGCCCAGCCUCUCUGCAAGUGAGAUCCUCCCUUCCCCCUCCUGCGCGAGCCUAGAGCGAGUCAGCCCAUCUGGUUCUAUUUCACUUCGUGUUACUCAUCAGGAUGUGUUUGCCAGGAGUUAUUUGAUGUUCAGGAAGAAUUCUGAAGCUUUUGAAAAGAGGUAAAUAAAAUCCUUUAUCCCCCAAAGAGUCAUGAAAUUGUGUUUUGCUCAGGAGGUGGCAGGCAGCCAUGUGAGGUCUGGAGGCCCCUGCCUAGCCAGGCACAGGGGCUGGAGUUUCACGAUCUGUUCUUCUGUCAGUCAGUCCGAAUCUCCACUCCUCCAAGUCCUUCCUGAUGCUCUCUUGGGAUGCCCGAAUUUGGGAACAGAUGAGGGCUGCCUGUGGGGACAGCCCAGCCUGUCUCCUGCUCUUCAGCCAAGAAAGCUUUUAGGGAGCACUCCUUCUGGUCCUCAGCCCUGUCAUUCCACAGCCAUGCAUACGAGCUCCAGGGGGAGGAACCAGAGUUCUCUGCCACAGAACAACCUGGGUUGGGGGAGCUCACCCCAUCUGCUAGGGUCUGGAGAUCACAAAGCAAGGAAGCUGACACCUCCUCCAAGCUCCUGUGAAUUGCAACAGACAUCAUGGAUGUUAAGAUACCCAGAAGGAGAGGCUUUGCCUGCAGGACUGUCUUACAGAGAAGGUUCCACCCUUCUAGCAUCAACCUCUACCUCGAGUCCACACAGCCUUCCUAUUAUUGCCCAGAGAUGGUUCAGUGCAAUGUCAAAGUUUUCCUGGCAAGAACUAGAUCCUCAGGUCUCGUUAAUGCAAAGUGGACCCCACUCUACCUUGUGGGUGCCCAUAACCAACCUGUUGAGAAGAGACCAACAUUUGUGUGACUGGUUGCUCCUUGGGCAGAGUCUGAGUGUUUACUCCCCCAACCCCCCCAAACAUCCCUAUUCUAUGCAAUGCCUCCCACAUAAGCAUCCAGGCAGAGGAGUGUGGGCUUACCUCUGUACCCCUUGAUCUGUCCAUUCUAUUACAGGGAUGCCAGAGGGCUCCUCCACAGCCUAGAGUGGUGUCAUCUCAAAUCCUGCAGUAUGCAAGGCUUCCCACCCACUGCAUCCCCCGUGACAGCUUACAACCCUGACUAUCAAACAUUGAUCACUUAAAUUUAACAUCCCGUCUUCCCUUUGAUAUCUUCAACUGCUCUCUGCAUAAGACAACAAGCCGCUUUCUGCAGCUCCGUAUGAGGGAGAGUUCAAAGACUUCCUUCCCCAGUCCCUCAGCACUGCACUCUGGGAUUCUGCCAGAGAGACUGUCAGGAGGAAGGUUUAAGGCAUCCUCUACUGAUAGCGUCUUUAGGACUCAGACCUGUGGGGAAACCUCCAUGCUUUAAGUCCUGGAUUCUGGGGUGAUCUGCGCAUAACUGGGCAGUCAAUGGCAUGUUAAUGUUUUUCUAGAAGCAUCUGUGGGUCAUCAUGGGGAAAGAUGUAAAUUCAGAGGCAGAGGCAUCAGGCUUAUAUCCUUGAGGAGCCGGGCCUGCAUCCCUGAUCUGCCCUUGACCAACUCUGGGUCCUCAGGAAAGUUCUGGAUCUUUUAAAUGGAUACGAUCAUUCUUAGCUCUCAGCAAAGUGCUUGAAUGGGCAGUGUGGCUACCCGGCUCACCAUUCCUGGACAGGAAGCGUCAGUGGCCGAGUAUGACAGGAAGCGCUGAACUCCUGAGAGCUGGGUACUUGAUAGUCACAGCUGGCAGCCUGAUCACCAGUCAUUCUGAUCCUCCCCCUCACACAAUCCGCAGUGGGCUUGUACUUUAUUACACCUGUGUUAAUUAGCGUAGCUACCAUCUAUGAAACACACCCCAUGGGUCAAGGCCAGAGCAAAGUGAUUGACCGAUGUCACUUCACAUCAGCCCUGCGAGUACCUCAAAGGUAGCCUUUCUCCUGGGACCUGUUUCUGCCUGAGUGUCUUCCUGGGUAACAGAAUCUACCUCAUGUUAAUGGCCACAUGGGGCUCGAAGCCAGGUCAGUGGGGCCGAAGUUCCGGCUUUUGCCUCAGUCUUCAAGCUGUAGUGACAUACUCUAAAAGGCACGUGGUGCUGUGUCUCAGUGCCUUGGGGUCUGCAGUGGAGGAUGUCCUGGUACGGAGAGAUGAACGUGGGACAGAGUGAAAAAGACCUUCUGUUCAGUUUCACACACUGUGUUUUGAGUAGCCACCUACAUAGUAUAACACCAGUUACAACGUCAUGGUCCCAGGUUCCUCAUGGCCCCAGACUUAAAGAAUAGAUCAUGAUGUUCCUGAUCUCUAGAGCCCUGUGGCCUAAGCCUCUGACUUGCUGGGGUUGCUAAGAAAUGGACUCCCCUUGUGGGGAGUCCCCCCCCCCAGGCAAUGCCACUUGUGACUGAAUGAUCUCUGAGUUUGGGGAGAGCGCUAGAAUCUCCACUCUAUUCUUGGCACAUCCUAAGUGUGCACCCCAGAAACUUGGCUCACAGUCUCCACUGCCACCCACUGGGGUCACACAGACUGCAUCUGCCCCUUUGUCAGAGGUUUUGGAAGAGUGUUUUUGCUUGGGGUUCCUUUCUUCAGGUCACAAAGGUCAAAGCUUCCUGUGACGUAAUGACGUAAAUCUCUGCAGCCUGUGACUUUGCAGGAAAGAGUGGGAAAUGGAGACUGGGAAGAAAGGAAGGUGAUGUCAUGUACCUGUGGGGGAGCUGCUGGGGUUAAACAAAGGCAUAGUCCCUGGCUGCUGGAGUGGGGCUGUCGGGGGAUGGAUGAAUGGCAAGGGAGAUAAUGAUCUCAGUCCUCUUCCAGACUCCCUUCCUCCUGGUUAGAACUCCUUCCCAUCCCCCUAUGGAGAACUCAUCAUGGCAAAGCCCUUGAAGGGUGGGCCCCACCUUGACCAGAAGCUCUCCCUGUGCUAUGGGGAGUUGUUUAUUCCCUAAAUUUUAGAGUUGAGCUCUCAGUAUGUAGCACAUUGAUGUCUAAACUGUUGCGUGCCCUUACUGAGGGAGACAGACACUUUUCUUUGAGAAGAGCUCUCAAUGUUCCAGCCUUGCUGGCUAGGUGAGGCAAAGUCAGAGGAGCAACCCUCUAGCGACACUGCUCUUUGUGGGAUAUCUGAAAUCCCGCAUAUAAAAACACCCCAACCCCAUCUGUCAUUUUUGUAGGUUUUCUUUGCUUUCUGUACAAUAAGAAAGGGCAACAGAUGAGGUAGACGGUGGACUGGGUUUGGGGUCUGAAUCGGGACUUACAUCAUCUUCUCUGUGAUUUGGGGCAAUUUAAUUACCAUCUCCAAAAGUCAAUCCUUUGCUUGGGAAACAAGGUCAAUGACGCAUGACUCACGGAGUGUCUGGAAAGACCAAAUGCAAAGGCAUUGGCAAACUGACAAACACUGGUAUACAGAGGGUGCUCAAUAAGUAUUAACAGAUGAGAUAACAGCUUCCUGAUGUGGAGGAGACAAGGUGUCUUGAUACCCCCUUAUGAAUAAUCGCAAUCAGCGCUUGGGGCUGGGAGCUGGGGGUAUGGAUUGGGUUUUCUUGAGGGGCAGCGGGUGAGCGAGAUGGAGAGGCUGACCCACUGGCGGUCGGUGCACAUUAGCGUUGCUUUGGAGAGUCUGCACAGAGCAUCAAGGAGUGUGGGUAACCUGCUCUCAACUCCUUGUGGAGUGUAGUCCUCAGAGAGCCAACAGCAGGUUCAGCUCUGAGCCUGACCCUGGGAGACAUAACAAACUAACCCAUUAUCCCCCAUUAUCUUUUCCGAGCAGCUUCAUUUGUCAAACCACGCUGCUGUUGGGAGAGGCGUGAUGGAGGACCCCAGCAUGCAUUUGUGCUGCGGUGCCUGAGCCCGGAUCUGCGCUGGAGUGAGAAAAAGGCUAGCGAUGCCUACAGACUGUGGCUCGCUCCAUAAUGGAGGCUUUGCACAUCUCUUUGAAUGCUAACUGCCUGGGAAUUAGAUAGCUGUUGUUGUUGUUGUUGUUGUUGCUGCUGCUGCUGCUGCUGCUGCUGCUGCUGCUGCUGUUUUUCCAGUCAGCCACAAAAGGAGUGACAAAGAAAAGGAAAGACCUGGCCUGAGGUCACAUCCUGUGAGAUGAGGACUGAAACCUGAAUGUGGCUCCAGAACUGUGUAACCUCCAUGUGGCGUUGUCCCCAUAGCAAAGCCCACUACUGCCAUUUUUUUACCCAACCCCCACCCCAGUCUUUAGGAGUUCUUCCUGUUUGCUCCCUGCAGUGUGUCACCUCCAUGGCCAUCUCUGGUCUUUCCAUGGAAUUGGAUAAUAAAAUAGGCUAGACAGUGCAACAGCAAUUGACCUGCAAACUUUCACGUACUUCACCUCUGAGCACACCCCAUUGGCUGAACCAAGCCGUCUUUGAAAUGACUAAAUUCAAAGUGGGUUGAAAUAUUCACAUUCUACAAGCUUCAAGGAAGAGAAGAACCGGACUAUUCAUUAAUCACCAGGAUACUUAACUCCCCAAACCAAAACCAAUCAACCAACCAACCCCGGAAAAACUGCUGAAGUUUGGACAUGGAGCUAUUCCUCCAAAUCUCAAGUGCAAAGUGGCCCAUGAUACAACGUUCAGAGGUGGGAAAGGGCAGGACAGGUUUCCAAGGGCUCUGGACUCAUUCGAGGACAGCUCUGUUGAUGGAUGACUGAACACUCUCUUUCUUAAAGGGGAUAGAAACAGGGAGAUGAAUCUUGAAUGGAAAAAUGGGUCAAGAGAGUCAUGCCUUUGAAAGGCAGAGCUGCCCUGGCUUCUUCUCUCAAACUUGAGCUGCCUCCAGUCCUCUGUGAGGGAUGCCACUCUGUUACCACACGCUCCCAGUCCUGAUGUUCUGUCUAACUACACAUGGACCCAGAAGCACUGGGACCAACUGGUGAUGGGCAAAGACCAAUGAAACCUCCUUCUCUCAAAGGUCACCAAAUUCUUACCUCUACCCUUACUCACAAGGGGGCACUGGUAAGUUUUAGGGGAGUCUUAAAGAUGAUUAAGCAUUUGUGUCUGUGGGUACAACCUGGAAUCCUGACUCCUUGGGAGGUAAAAAUAGGGGAACCCAAGUUUAAGUCCAACCUAGUAGCUUAGGAAGACUCUGUCUUUAAACACUGAACCAAAGAAAACAUGGCUGGGGUUAUGACUCAUUCAUUGGUAAGAGUGCUUGUCUACAAUGGGUAAAGAUCUGGAUUCAAUUACCAGUGUGCAUAUGCACCAAUGUGUGUACGUGGGUGCACGCACACACACACACACACACACACACACAAACACACACUCAUACACUUAAACACACAUUCAU
This 14195-nucleotide small RNA is filed under the name Rattus norvegicus (Norway rat). Its description in RNAcentral is "uncharacterized LOC103693859". Lineage: Eukaryota; Metazoa; Chordata; Mammalia; Rodentia; Muridae. The record is from RNAcentral.